GUACACUCCUACGGGAGGCAGCAGUGGGGAAUAUUGGACAAUGGGCGCAAGCCUGAUCCAGCCAUGCCGCGUGAGUGAUGAAGGCCCUAGGGUUGUAAAGCUCUUUCACCGGAGAAGAUAAUGACGGUAUCCGGAGAAGAAGCCCCGGCUAACUUCGUGCCAGCAGCCGCGGUAAUACGAAGGGGGCUAGCGUUGUUCGGAAUUACUGGGCGUAAAGCGCACGUAGGCGGAUCGAUCAGUCAGGGGUGAAAUCCCAGGGCUCAACCCUGGAACUGCCUUUGAUACUGUCGAUCUGGAGUAUGGAAGAGGUGAGUGGAAUUCCGAGUGUAGAGGUGAAAUUCGUAGAUAUUCGGAGGAACACCAGUGGCGAAGGCGGCUCACUGGUCCAUUACUGACGCUGAGGUGCGAAAGCGUGGGGAGCAAACAGGAUUAGAAACCCUAGUAGUCCC
Molecule: ribosomal RNA, 449 nt
Filed under: uncultured organism
Description: partial 16S ribosomal RNA
Rfam family: Bacterial small subunit ribosomal RNA
Source: RNAcentral